UACGGAGGGUGCAAGCGUUAUCCGGAUUCACUGGGUUUAAAGCGUGCGCAGGCGGUUUUGUAAGCCAGAUGUGAAAUCCCCGGGCUUAACCUGGGAAUGGCAUUUGGGACUGCAAGGCUUGAGUGCGGCAGAGGAGACUGGAAUUCCUGGUGUAGCAGUGAAAUGCGUAGAUAUCAGGAGGAACACCGAUGGCGAAGGCAGGUCUCUGGGCUGACACUGACGCUCAUGCACGAAAGCGUGGGGAGCAAACAGG
This 253-nucleotide ribosomal RNA is filed under the name uncultured bacterium. RNAcentral's name for it is "partial 16S ribosomal RNA". It matches the Rfam family "Bacterial small subunit ribosomal RNA", at positions 524 to 776 of the family's 1533-position model. The record is from RNAcentral.